Molecule: long non-coding RNA, 1041 nt
Organism: Daphnia carinata
Lineage: Eukaryota; Metazoa; Arthropoda; Branchiopoda; Diplostraca; Daphniidae
Exons: 2
Source: RefSeq, a predicted model, not a curated record
UAAAUGAAUAAAUCAAGAAAAAUAAAUUGAAAACAUGGAUUACGAUAUAAAUAAUCGAUCGAUUGUGGCUCGGCGACACAAGUGGUUUAUAGAACGGAUAGAAUAGAAGCAAAGUUUGGCAUGCUGGUCAAAGGAUGCAAGUCACAAAGUGCAGUUUGAAACGUGGACAAUCUAUAUUGCAAGGCAGCUCCGGCUCACGGCUUGCAGCCUAGCUAAAAGGGCAAACCAGCAAGCCCGCCAAGCAGCCCGUCAGCUUGCUAUAGAGCCACACAUUCAGGAGCAUGAGAGAGGGCAAAGAGAUAUACAGUAUAUAUAGGAUAUCUGAUGUAACGUGUUGCUGGUUUGUUCGCUAGCCAGAGCCGCUGAUCUGGUUUCUUAUACACACCUCGGUAGUUCAAACCGAUUCAAUCCUGUUUUUCUGAAAGUUCGAGGACUUCAGAGUCGACUCUCUCUCUUUCUCGCUGCUCUUUAUGUCUCUUUGGUUUGCCCGUUUUGCUACGCUGUUGCACUGUUUCGUGCCCACGUACUAUCACGGAUCUCUCAAGUGUGUCCAUGUGUGUAUGCAUGUGUGUGUGUGUGUGUGUGUGUGUGUGUGUGUGUGUGUAUAUAUGUUGCGUGCCUGCGUUCUAGCUGUGUUGCGUCUGUCAGCUCGAAGAAGGACAACUGGUUUCCGGUUCAAACUGCUUCAACUUCAGUUGGGUCGGUCCAUCGAAGCAAAAGCAACACUAUACCAACGAGGGCUUCUAUAACGGCACGUCAUUGUUGAAAAUAGUUGCAUAUUUAUACAAGUUUAAUACACUUGCACUUGAAGGCGGUCAAAGAUGAUCUCUUUCCUUGUCAUCGACCAAAAAUCCGGCUCCUCGUCAACUAAAAGAGCCUCACUUCUCCUCCUCCCUCCUUCAGACUUCUACCCUCGUCUCCAUCUAUAGCCCACGUCAAACGAUCUGUACGACCGAUAUACGACAUCCUCGACCCCCUUCUUGGCCGUGUCUGAUAUUACAUUUGGAUGAUUCAAAGAGAGCUGAAUAUACUACAAGCUAU